GACGAACGCUGGCGGCGUGCUUAACACAUGCAAGUCGAGCGGUAAGGCCCUUUCGGGGGUACACGAGCGGGCGAACGGGUGAGUAACACGUGGGUGACCUGCCCUCAGCUCUGGGAUAAGCCUGGGAAACCGGGUCUAAUACUGGAUAUGACUCCAUGACGCAUGUUGUGGGGUGGAAAGCCUUGUGCGGCUGAGGAUGGGCCCGCGGCCUAUCAGCUUGUUGGUGGGGUGAUGGCCUACCAAGGCGACGACGGGUAGCCGGCCUGAGAGGGCGACCGGCCACACUGGGACUGAGACACGGCCCAGACUCCUACGGGAGGCAGCAGUGGGGAAUCUUGCGCAAUGGGCGAAAGCCUGACGCAGCGACGCCGCGUGAGGGAUGACGGCC
This 388-nucleotide ribosomal RNA is filed under the name uncultured bacterium. RNAcentral's name for it is "bacterial SSU rRNA". It matches the Rfam family "Bacterial small subunit ribosomal RNA", at positions 28 to 416 of the family's 1533-position model. The record is from RNAcentral.